GCUGGUUUAUUUUUAUACUGCCUUCUUGACUACCCUUCUGAUGCUCAGGAACAACCUGGCUUCUGUGAGUUAGCUGCGAAAGCUCAGAAGAAUUUCCUUGACAGGAACAUGUGAGGAUGCAGUCUUUUGUGAGCCAGUCAGUGGAGACAGUUAUGGGAAAAUGCAGGAGAUCAGGAUGCAGUUGCACAAAUGCUGUAAGCUGGACGUCACUGAAAGAAGAGUGUGGUUUCUGUUUGGUUAAUGGCGUGUGAACGAACAAAGACUUCAGCCACUGGAGAUGAGACGGCAAAAUAGAAACAAGGAUGGACAGCAAUUGGGAGAGAAAGUGUGAACCAAUGUGUCAGUGGCAUGGGUGUACAGAGCUUGAGAAGGUGCAAACAGAUGCCUUGGUUGAGCCCAUCUAUCAGAUUCUAUACUCAGUUGAAAAUUAUGUCUAAGUGGGAGUUAAAUGCUGACACCAGAAAGCAGACAAUUGCAUCUUGGUGGUAUUCUACAUUUAUGAGUCUCUCUUGUGCCUGGCCAAAGCACAUCUGGAAAAGGAAAGAACUUGUAAGAGAUUUUGCCUGCAAAGCUCCACAUGGAACGGAGCUGAUACAAAUCAAUCUUGCUUUUUUAGUACAUCUAUCUGCAAAUAGCUACAGUGUAAUGCAAACAGACAUAAUAAUCCAGAUUAUUUUGGAAGAUUGAUUAAUGGGAACAUUACUCAUAUACUCAGUGCAUGACAUUUCCUAUUAGUUGUUCAUAUCAUUUGAGAGUUAAAGGAUAUAAAUACUUAGGAACUUCCCAGCAGUUGGGUUGCCACCUGUCUGCUGAACACAUCAAAGGGGGAAAAGCGUGAGUUAUAUUCCAUUUAAGAAUGCUGUAGCUAUCUGUGGGACUCUGAAUAACAUUUCUGACACUG
Molecule: long non-coding RNA, 901 nt
Organism: Corapipo altera (White-ruffed manakin)
Lineage: Eukaryota; Metazoa; Chordata; Aves; Passeriformes; Pipridae
Exons: 4
Source: RefSeq, a predicted model, not a curated record